RNAcentral lists this ribosomal RNA (586 nucleotides) under uncultured bacterium. RNAcentral's name for it is "partial 16S ribosomal RNA". It matches the Rfam family "Bacterial small subunit ribosomal RNA", at positions 355 to 1375 of the family's 1533-position model. The record is from RNAcentral.
UGGGGAAUUUUGGACAAUGGGCGAAAGCCUGAUCCAGCAAUGCCGCGUGUGUGAAGAAGGCCUUCGGGUUGUAAAGCACUUUUGUCCGGAAAGAAAUCCUUGGCUCUAAUACAGUCGGGGGAUGACGGUACCGGAAGAAUAAGCACCGGCUAACUACGUGCCAGCAGCCGCGGUAAUACGUAGGGUGCAAGCGUUAAUCGGAAUUACUGGGCGUAAAGCGUGCGCAGGCGGUUUGCUAAGACCGAUGUGAAAUCCCCGGGCUCAACCUGGGAACUGCAUUGGUGACUGGCAGGCUAGAGUAUGGCAGAGGGGGGUAGAAUUCCACGUGUAGCAGUGAAAUGCGUAGAGAUGUGGAGGAAUACCGAUGGCGAAGGCAGCCCCCUGGGCCAAUACUGACGCUCAUGCACGAAAGCGUGGGGGAGCAAACAGGAUUAGAUACCCCUGGUAGUCCACGCCCUAAACGAUGUCAACUAGUUGUUGGGGAUUCAUUUCCUUAGUAACGUAGCUAACGCGUGAAGUUGACCGCCUGGGGAGUACGGUCGCAAGAUUAAAACUCAAUGAAUUGACGGGGUCAUAGCUGUUUCCU